RNAcentral lists this ribosomal RNA (796 nucleotides) under uncultured archaeon. Its description in RNAcentral is "bacterial SSU rRNA". It matches the Rfam family "Archaeal small subunit ribosomal RNA", at positions 85 to 879 of the family's 1478-position model. RNAcentral also lists the same sequence under 1 other name. The record is from RNAcentral.
ACUGCUCAGUAACACGUGGAUAACCUGCCCUUGGGUCCGGCAUAACCCCGGGAAACUGGGGAUAAUUCCGGAUAACGCAUAUGUGCUGGAAUGCUUUAUGCGUCAAAUGGAUUCGUCUGCCCAAGGAUGGGUCUGCGGCCUAUCAGGUAGUAGUGGGUGUAAUGUACCUACUAGCCGACAACGGGUACGGGUUGUGAGAGCAAGAGCCCGGAGAUGGAUUCUGAGACAUGAAUCCAGGCCCUACGGGGCGCAGCAGGCGCGAAAACUUUACAAUGCGGGAAACCGUGAUAAGGGGACACCGAGUGUCAGCAUCAUAUGCUGGCUGUCCAGGUGUGUAAAAUACACCUGUUAGCAAGGGCCGGGCAAGACCGGUGCCAGCCGCCGCGGUAACACCGGCGGCCCGAGUGGUGAUCGUGAUUAUUGGGUCUAAAGGGUCCGUAGCCGGUUUGGUCAGUCCUCCGGGAAAUCUGAUAGCUCAACUAUUAGGCUAUCGGGGGAUACUACCAGACUUGGAACCGGGAGAGGUAAGAGGUACUACAGGGGUAGGAGUGAAAUCUUGUAAUCCCUGUGGGACCACCUGUGGCGAAGGCGUCUUACCAGAACGGGUUCGACGGUGAGGGACGAAAGCUGGGGGCACGAACCGGAUUAGAUACCCGGGUAGUCCCAGCCGUAAACGAUGCUCGCUAGGUGUCAGGCAUGGCGCGACCGUGUCUGGUGCCGCAGGGAAGCCGUGAAGCGAGCCACCUGGGAAGUACGGCCGCAAGGCUGAAACUUAAAGGAAUUGGCGGGGGAGCAC